RNAcentral lists this transfer RNA (70 nucleotides) under Rhynchosporium graminicola. It matches the Rfam family "tRNA". Rfam says of the family: Transfer RNA (tRNA) molecules are approximately 80 nucleotides in length. Their secondary structure includes four short double-helical elements and three loops (D, anti-codon, and T loops). Lineage: Eukaryota; Fungi; Ascomycota; Leotiomycetes; Helotiales; Ploettnerulaceae. The record is from RNAcentral.
GGUUGUAUAGUGUAGCGGUUAGCACGUGAGAUUCUGAACCCCAGCCCUGGUUCGAAUCCUGGUACGACCU